This 48-nucleotide small nucleolar RNA is filed under the name Pogona vitticeps (central bearded dragon). Its description in RNAcentral is "Small nucleolar RNA U82P (ENSPVIG00000018558.1)". The record is from RNAcentral. Lineage: Eukaryota; Metazoa; Chordata; Lepidosauria; Squamata; Agamidae.
GAGCUGAUGAAGGACUGUGCCAAUCCCACUCUCUGCUCCUCCUUGAAG